GGCGCUAUAGUGUAGUGGCUAUCACUCAGGAUUCUGAUUCUUCAUCUUCCUGUAACCCAGGUUCGAACCCUGGUAGUGCCU
Non-coding RNA from Pterulicium gracile, 81 nucleotides. NCBI's taxonomy places the organism in Eukaryota, Fungi, Basidiomycota, Agaricomycetes, Agaricales, Pterulaceae. The record is from the annotation of a GenBank genome assembly.